Molecule: ribosomal RNA, 484 nt
Filed under: uncultured bacterium
Lineage: Bacteria
Description: partial 16S ribosomal RNA
Rfam family: Bacterial small subunit ribosomal RNA
Source: RNAcentral
AUUGAACGCUGGCGGCAGGCCUAACACAUGCAAGUCGAGCGGAUGAAGGGAGCUUGCUCCUGGAUUCAGCGGCGGACGGGUGAGUAAUGCCUAGGAAUCUGCCUGGUAGUGGGGGAUAACGUCCGGAAACGGGCGCUAAUACCGCAUACGUCCUGAGGGAGAAAGUGGGGGAUCUUCGGACCUCACGCUAUCAGAUGAGCCUAGGUCGGAUUAGCUAGUUGGUGGGGUAAAGGCCUACCAAGGCGACGAUCCGUACCUGGUCUGAGAGGAUGAUCAGUCACACUGGAACUGAGACACGGUCCAGACUCCUACGGGAGGCAGCAGUGGGGAAUAUUGGACAAUGGGCGAAAGCCUGAUCCAGCCAUGCCGCGUGUGUGAAGAAGGUCUUCGGAUUGUAAAGCACUUUAAGUUGGGAGGAAGGGCAGUAAGUUAAUACCUUGCUGUUUUGACGUUACCAACAGAAUAAGCACCGGCUAACUUCGUG